UUGCGCCCUAAGCCCCUAGGCCGAGGGCACGUCUGCCUGGGUGUCACGCAUCGCUGCCCCGCCGCCUCCCCCCUCCCUCGCGGGGGGGCCCGGCGGCGAGGGCGGACAUUGGCCUCCCGUGCGCCCUCCGGCCGCGGUUGGCCCAAAUACGAGUCCUCGGCGACCCGGCAUCGCGGCGAUCGGUGGGAACGUAAAACCUCUCGAGCGCACGCCGCGGGCCCUCCCGAGCGGCCCAAGGACCCUAGAAAAGCUCCGCACGAGCGGCGCUCGCCGAGCGACCCCAGGUCAGGCGGGACUACCCGCUGAGUUUAAGCAUAUCAAUAAGCGGAGGAAAAGAAACUUACCAGGAUUCCCCUAGU
This 359-nucleotide ribosomal RNA is filed under the name Conchocarpus pentandrus. Its description in RNAcentral is "eukaryotic LSU rRNA". The stretch from base 276 to 359 matches the Rfam family "Eukaryotic large subunit ribosomal RNA", at positions 1 to 84 of the family's 3401-position model. The record is from RNAcentral. Lineage: Eukaryota; Viridiplantae; Streptophyta; Magnoliopsida; Sapindales; Rutaceae.